Long non-coding RNA from Nyctereutes procyonoides (raccoon dog), 1212 nucleotides. RefSeq lists it as uncharacterized. The transcript is spliced from 4 exons. The record is from RefSeq and is a predicted model, not a curated record. NCBI's taxonomy places the organism in Eukaryota, Metazoa, Chordata, Mammalia, Carnivora, Canidae.
UUAAGUCACCCAAUUUGCGGUAACAUGUAAUGGCAGCCCUAGGAAACUGAUACUCCAAGCAUAUAUGAGAAGCUGGAUGCCAGGCACUAAUUUCCCAGCCUCACUCAGAGAAAGCUAUACAGUGCUCCUAUGCUUUGACCCCACGAUCCUAUUGACAGCCUGUAUUGUACCUCUAGUUCCUCUGCUCCAUGUAAUAUUCUUUCUUGCUUCACUCCUUUAUAGAGCAUGUCCUCCAUUUGCAGCCUUGAUGAAAAUCUCCAUGAGGAUCUUAACCUAGAGAAUCAGUCCCCGCAACCAUCAGUCACCUAAUUAAAAUCACCCAGGUUGAGAUGUCCAAGAAAAUCAGUUUUCAGUGGACAAUCUUUGCUCCUUCCAUAUUAAAAUUUUAUUUAUUCAUGAGAGACACACAGAGAGAGGCAGAGACACGGGCAGAAGGAGAUGCAGGCUCCCUGCAGGGAGCCUGAUGUGGGACUCAAUCCCAGGACCCUGGAAUCACGCCCUGAGUCAAAGGCAGACAUUCAACUGCUAAACCACCCAAGUGUCCUCAAUUUCUGACUCAGUCAGAAAAAGUCACAUGAACCUUCCUACCAGGAGUUGGCCACUUCUCAGAUUGAUUCUACUUUAUCCGGCCCGGGUUGGUGGAACCCUUUGGAGCACGGAGUCAAACUUGACACCUACUAGCUGCAGCUUGGGCAACUCUCUGAACCUCCAGAAGCUUGCUUUACCAUCCUAAGGAGGAAAAAAAAGUCUCUUUCUUUAAGCGGUAGGGUUACCUUUGAAAAAGAACAAGCACAAGACGGGAUAGUGGCCCACCACAUGGCAAUGGCCAUCCUCUCCUCUCCCAUCCAAACCUGCUUUUCGUCCCCGCACCCGCAUCCUCAAGAAGCCAGAGGACAUGGUCUUCAGCCCUUUGACUACCGUGCACUCUCCAAAGGUUAGAAAGUAUGUGUGUGCAGGCAAGGGAGGCUGGGUUACUGCCUUGUGGGAAUUCGCUGCCAAUUUUGCCCUUGCAUUUCACAUUUUCAAUUCGUUAUUUUUGUUGAUCAAAUUCCAGUCACUUCAAAGGAUAUACUGAGGAUGUGUAUCGUUUUCCAGAAUUAUUUUAGGUAGUGUCAAUGUGACUUUACUAAGGAUGUUAGGGAAUCAGCGGGGCUAUGCGUGUGCACGUGCGUGUGCGUGCACACAACACCCUGACACAUUCCCUCUCACAUG